Molecule: long non-coding RNA, 482 nt
Organism: Triticum aestivum (bread wheat)
Lineage: Eukaryota; Viridiplantae; Streptophyta; Magnoliopsida; Poales; Poaceae
Exons: 3
Source: RefSeq, a predicted model, not a curated record
CAGUUGGCGAAAUAAGAGGGAAAGGGAUAAGGGAGGGUCGACCGGCGAUCGGUGACAACAAGGCAUCAUCGUUGAUUCUAUAUAUGUCCAUAUCGACAUGGGCGAUAACACCCUCUCCCCCGCCGCCACCCCCUCCCAUGGGCAUACAUGUGAGCCUUAUCAGGGUUUCAGAGCUAGGGAAGAGGGGGGAGGUGACGAUUAUGGGCAACCAAAGCAGGAGCAGUGGGAGGAGGAUGCGGCGCAUGGAAGAUGGGUAGAGGCGGCGUCAAGAAGGAGGUAGAGUUGUGAAUCAAGAUGCUAUGGCGUCAAUGGAUCUCAUGCGGUGCGGAGAAGAAACAAGGACAAUAAUUGUGAUCGGACGAACUCCAUCAUCGAGCAGAACCGGGGCGAGCUCUAGCCCUACCCACCUGCGUCCAGCGCAGGAAAUGUCGUCAUCGGACGACGAAAGUCUCUCGGGGGAGUGCGACUGGUGCCACGACGGU